Non-coding RNA from Ictalurus furcatus (blue catfish), 1912 nucleotides. NCBI's taxonomy places the organism in Eukaryota, Metazoa, Chordata, Actinopteri, Siluriformes, Ictaluridae. The record is from the annotation of a RefSeq genome assembly.
CACACACACACACACACACACACUUUGCAUUGCCAGUCCAUGCUUCAGUGCUCUGCGAGUGUUUAUAGCCCUGUGACUUUAACACUUCAUGACUGAGAGCUGCUGCUCAGCAACUUCACCCACAGCAACCAUGACUUUGAUCAGCGUCUUCAUCUGCACACUGGCCCUCUGGACUCAAGGAUCCAGAGGUCAGGUGACUGUGACUCAGACACCUUCAGUGCAAACUGUUGAUCCAGAAGAAACAGUCACCUUCAACUGUAGAACCAGUAGCAGAGUGUAUGUUGGUAGCGUUCUACACUGGUACCUGCAGAAACCUGGAGAAGCUCCUAAACUCCUGAUCUACUUGGCUACUAGCUUACAGUCAGGAACUCCAGCUCGUUUCAGUGGCAGUGGAUCUAAUACUGACUUCACUCUGACCAUCAGAGGAGUCCAGACUGAAGAUGCAGGAGAUUACUACUGUCAGAGUGUACAUGAGAUCGGUAGUAGCUAUGUGUUCACACAGUGUUAGAGCGCCGUACAAAAACCUCGGUCAGUGAGAGUGCACAGAGAAGCACUGCUGCAGCUGGGAGCGACUGCAGGUGCUGAGGGGGAGGAUGUGAUACAGCACAAUGACACACUGUGGACGAGAGAAAACACACCACACUAACUCACUAAUGCACACACACAUCUGUGAGAGGAGUCUACCUUUCUCUCAAGAAAACCAUAAAUAUAAAGAAUUUACAACAUAAAAGUCCAUCAAGUUAUGUGUAAUAAAGUGGAAUGACACAGGAAAAAAGUAUUGAACACGCUAAGAAAAAGCAUUUCUCCAAGGCAAGGUAAGGAAAGGAACCAUCUGAAAUCUGUAAGUAAUUACACCCCCUAUCUGUGCACAUUAAUAUCAGCUGGGUUAGUACAUUGAUGGUCUAUAAAAAGGCUUUUUGUUACAAAGGUGUCACACAUGAAACAUCUAAUGAUGGGUAAAAUCAAAGAGCGCUCCCAAGACUUUUGGAACAUUAUUGUUGAAAAACAUAUUGAUGGAAUCGGAUAUAGACGUAUUUCAAAACUUCUGAAUCCUCCAGUAAGCACCACUGGGGCCAUUAUCCACAGGUGGAAGCAACAUCACUCCGUCAUCGCACAGGAGCUCCUCGGAAGAUUUCUGACCCAGGAGUCAGAAGAAUAGUCAGAAGAGUAGCCCAAGAGCCAAGGACCACUCGGAAAGAGCUCCAGAAACACUUGGAGGCAGCAGGAGCCAUUGUCACAGAGAAAACAAUAGGCAAUGCACUCCAUUGCUCACGCUCACCGAGCAAGACUCCAUUACUAAACAAAAGGCAUGCCGAAGCUCGUUUAAAGUUUGCUACAACUCAUUUGGACAAGCCUGUGAAAUACUGGGAGAGUGUAGUCUGGUCAGAUGAGAGCAAAAUUGAACUUUCUGGGUGUCAUACUACACACCAUGUUUGGAGAAGAAAUGUCACUGCACAUCACCCUAAAAACACUACACCACCAGUGAAGUUUGGAGGUGAAGCAUCAUGGUGUGGGGCUGUUUUUCAUCACAUGGUAUUGGCAGGAACGAUGAAUGGAGCCAUUUACCGAGAGAUUCUUGAAAAGAAUGUGCUGCCAUCCACCAGGAUGAUGAAGAUGAGAUGUGGGUGGAGCUUCCAGCAGGAUCCAAAGCAAUCAGCAAAGGAAACUCUCAACUGGUUUCAGAGAAAAAAAAAUCAAGGUGUUAGAAUGGCCCAGUCAAUCACCUGACUCGAAACCAAUUGAACAAGCUUUAAAGACAAUAUGUUUAGAAGAACGGGCCAAAAUCACACCUGAAUACUGCGGCCCAUUAAUUUUUUCAUACAGGAAGUGUCUUGAAGCAUCAUUACAAACAAAGGCUUCUCCACUAAGUAUUAAACACAUUUCAGUUAGCGUGUUCAAUACUUUUUCCCCC